Rana temporaria (common frog) is the source of this 577-nucleotide non-coding RNA. The record is from the annotation of a RefSeq genome assembly. NCBI's taxonomy places the organism in Eukaryota, Metazoa, Chordata, Amphibia, Anura, Ranidae.
UAUCAUGAAAUCUCUCAUACACUAUAAAGACAGAGAAGACAUUUACAGGGUAUAUGUGAAGUGUAUAGAUACAGAUUAUACAGAGGAAUAAUGAAGACCCAAAUAGGCCUUUUUAUAUCAUUAUCGUGGCUGUCAGGUGUCCUGUCUUCUAACCAACUUGUCCAGUCUGAUCCAGCCGUGCUAAAGCCGGGGAACUCCCAUACACUCACCUGUCAGGGUUCAGGAGGAUUCACCUUUGGUAGCAAUUAUAUGAACUGGAUCAGACAGUUCUCUGAUGGAAAGUUACAAUGGUUGUGUUAUAUCGGUAGCGGUGGGGACACGGGCUAUAAUGAUGCUGUUAAAGGGAGAUUUACAGCCACUAGAGAUAACAGCAAUAACAAGCUGACUCUGAAAAUGGACACCAUGAAAAUAGAAGACACUGCCGUGUAUUACUGUGCAAGAAACACACUGAUGGAAAAUAUAUCUUUCCUAUAACAAUAAGUAGAAUAUCACUUCUUCAUGUUAUCAGUAGGUGGCAGCACAUCCAUGUAAUGACUGAACACAAUAGCUAUAAAUAAUAAACAGCCAACUAAUUAAU